This is a long non-coding RNA of Pogona vitticeps (central bearded dragon), 3293 nucleotides long. NCBI's taxonomy places the organism in Eukaryota, Metazoa, Chordata, Lepidosauria, Squamata, Agamidae. The record is from Ensembl.
UCUCUUUUUUUUUAAAUGGUAGAACAAAGAAUCACACAAGGACAAGAUUCCAUGGAAAAGACCCAAUGGCUGGGAAAGUUCUAAGCAGCAGGAAAAGAGGAAAACUGAAUGUGAGAUGGAUGGACGCUGUAAAGGAAGCCACAGAUGGGUUUGCAGGACCUGAGCAGGCUUGCUAAAGGCAGAACCGUUCCGGAGGGUUGCCAUAAAUCAGAUGCAACUCGGCAGCAUGGAAUAACAACCGAGGGUCAUUUAGUUCAGCCCUCCUCCAGGGUCUCUGCAGCAAACAAACAGUAGGUGUGUCGAGCUGGAAUAGAACCCCAGGGGCAUCUAGUCCACCCCUACCAAUCUGGUUAGGCCCUCGUUCCCCUCACACAUGAUCAAGAGUGUUGUGUGGAUCCUGUCUUCCAGAACAGCAAAAUUGGCUGGCAUGCAAGGUUUUUGUGUGUGAAAUAAAUAAAUGCACAAAUAAAUAAAUAAGCGAGGUGUCAUUUAAGGCUGUAACGUCAGGUUUCGUGGCUAGGGGGUUGCCCAAGGGUGGCGAAAUUUGGAGGGUGCCAACAUUUGCUGCUAGAAGGGCGAAGACCUGCCCCUUAGCAUUUGCUGUACGAAGCCCUGGACCUUUAAGCCACAGUUCAAGAGAGAACUUGGGCUCUGAAAUUGCUCCAUGAACUUUAUUUGAAAGUGCUUCUGCACCAAGGAAAGGUGGCCAGGAUCUUUGCCUCCUGGGCAUGUGGCCCUUGGCUCCCUGGGGGGGGAUGGGGGGGAGGAUGGUGGUGGCUGAGGAUGACCUCACAAUCCCUGAGGAUGACAUCAGAGCUUUGUGAUUCUCAAGGCAAGUUUGGGAGGCCAGCGGGCAUUUCUUGCAACUGCUGUGGGAACCGCCAGCGCCUCGAAGAACGAUCCAGCAGGAGAAGAAAUCAAAGCAAAGACAAGCGCUCUGCAUAGUGGAAGACUUCGAAGCAGAGAGGCUGAUCGGGUGGCUAGCAGGUCGGGGCCACCAUGCUUCCGGCCAAAGAGCCAUCUCCAAGUUCGCCGAGGAAUCGUUCGCCUCCCCGGGAAUCGUACUCCAGCCUCCCGGCCCGAGGCAGGAUUGGCCCCUCGGCCACCCCUGAGACUUUCCAAAGAGCUGCCUUGCCCCAUAGAGCAAGUGAGGCUGCUCAGGGGGCUUGGCCUCCAAGAGCCACUGACCGGAGCCCCUCACCCCGGAGAGGAAGUGAGGUCUCCCAGGCUUCCCAGAGGGGGAGUCUGAGCGAGCCUCCCCGGAAAACAUCGCCAGGGGCCUCCCCAGGGAGAGGGAGCGAGCCCUUUCCCAGAAGUGGGGCCCCCCAGAGAGGAAGUUGUGACCUGAUGCAAGGGAUGCCGAGGGGCCCCAAUCUCUCUCCACCUGGCCCCUCGUCACGAAGAGGAAGCGAGCUCUCUCAGACGUCUUCCUCCGGCCGGCAGCUGAACAACGUUUCGCGCCACGCAUCUCCCCCCCAAGAGAGGGAGGACGUCCGGCGUUCUUCACUCCCCAAAGGGCUGGAUUCCCCCCCAAUUGCCUCCCCCCGCCGAGGGAGCCAGCUGUCCCAGGGCCUUUGUGCGAGGCCAGGGGGCCAACACGGGCAAGACCUCUCCCCGCAAGGGGAAAGCAACUUGGCGCUACAGCAAGGGAGGCCGGUGGCCCAGAGCGUGUCACCGCAAAACUUGGACUACCGGUGCGGGAGGUGUUACCUCGAAUCGGAGCAGUUGAGCAUGGCCGCUGGCCGGAUGCUCCUGGCGAUGCAGCAAGCGCUGAACGCACAACUAGAGGAGAUGUGCCAGCAAGCCUGCCCUUUGUCAGAGAGGGACGGCCACUACACCCCCAGCAGCCUGACUCGGAACAAUUCAUUAAAGCCGGCAAUGAAAUAUUUGGCCAGAGCCAGCUCUGGCCUCGAGGAGGAAUGGGCACAGGGGUCUCCUCUAAGUAGGGAUUCCCUCCAAGCACCUGGAAAUUGUCCUUCUCAGCGAGCGACUGGUGCCGGACAGUGUGACCCGUCUCAGCCCCUAGUGAAGAAGCCGGUCCUGAGACAUGUGCCCAACCCGAAGGACGCUUGGACUCAAACAGAGGGGAAAGUCAUCCAGAGACAAGUGCCCAGCCUGAAGGACGCUUGGAGCCAAACAGAACUGGCUCCCUUCUUCCCCCCGGGCCCAUCCUUGAAGGUCGAGGUGUGGAGGGCGACCCCAGAGGCUCGGGCCCGGUCGGUUCCCUCACCGGCAGGCCUCGGCUCGGUUCCUCAACUGGAGUCGAAAGGGAGCUGCAAGCCUGUUUUGCACCCGGACAGCGAAUCGGAGUACCUCUGCGCUCUCCAUCGAGGGAGGGAGGCAUCUAGCAAACGGCCCGUCUCCCCGGGCCCCGUCCUGCCUCUCCAGAGUGCCCUCCCUCCGGAGGGAGAGCGGAGAAGGAGCUCCCUCCGGACCAGCCAUGAAGGGAACCAAAUGGUCUACAGGCCAGCUGCCGCUCAUCCGGAGACCGAAUCCGAGUACCGCUGCCCCCUUCACCUGCAGAUGGAAGCGGCGGCCGCUGCCCGGAAGAGCUCCCUCUCUCCCGGGAUGAGCGUUCCUCAGCGGGCCUCUUUCUACACCCAGACAGAAGAGAGACGAGACUCUUCCCCAAGAGGAUCCCUCUUUCAAGAGACAAACUCACUGUGGGCCCCGGCCGUGGAGGCUUUGACCACAACCGAGCCUUGCCAAGGUGCCAAGGCAAUGCCCAGCGGAGAGGAGCGUCAGCGGGCCUUGCAGCAUCGGGAGAGCAUGGCGGCUUGGCCUGGAGACUUACCUCGUCACGCCUUGCCAAAAUUUGGGCCGGAGUGUUCCUGGUGGUAUUUGCUCCAGGGACAGCCCUCCCCGUUGACUCCAGGCCACAUGGGAAGGGCCAAGACCCUUCAAAUGGAGAAGCCGGCCAGUCCUCCACCUCCAGAACGGGCAGAGAGGGGCAGGAGUCUGCCUGCUCCCGACCGGCCAGAGGAGCAGGCCAUUCUUCCUGCUCCGGACUGGAGUGAGAAGCCCGUGAGCCCGGCUGAUCCGUGCAGUGCGGAUGCCACACCAGCUGCUCCGGAGGGAACUUUUGGUUCCCCCACUGGUGCCAUUUCGCCCUCAAGCCAAGACCUGGCUGCCUUGCCAGGGUGUCCUGAAGAGAUGCUGGCAGACAGGUUUACUGCUUUCUUUUUGGAUGUUUGCGAUGACAUGAACCCUAAUAUAUUUUGGUGUUUGAAAGGUGGGUGUUUGAAACAUCUUUCUAACUUAUGGGGUGACUGAUGGGAAAAGAAAAUCAAUGG